RNAcentral lists this ribosomal RNA (443 nucleotides) under uncultured bacterium. Its description in RNAcentral is "bacterial SSU rRNA". It matches the Rfam family "Bacterial small subunit ribosomal RNA", at positions 29 to 517 of the family's 1533-position model. The record is from RNAcentral.
AAUGAACGCUGGCGGCAUGCCUAACACAUGCAAGUCGAACGAAGCCUUCGGGCUUAGUGGCGCACGGGUGCGUAACGCGUGGGAAUCUGCCCUUGGGUUCGGAAUAACAGUUAGAAAUGACUGCUAAUACCGAAUGAUGUCGUAAGACCAAAGAUUUAUCGCCCAGGGAUGAGCCCGCGUAGGAUUAGCUAGUUGGUGUGGUAAAGGCGCACCAAGGCGACGAUCCUUAGCNGGUCUGAGAGGAUGAUCAGCCACACUGGGACUGAGACACGGCCCAGACUCCUACGGGAGGCAGCAGUGGGGAAUAUUGGACAAUGGGCGAAAGCCUGAUCCAGCAAUGCCGCGUGAGUGAUGAAGGCCUUAGGGUUGUAAAGCUCUUUUACCCGGGAUGAUAAUGACAGUACCGGGAGAAUAAGCUCCGGCUAACUCCGUGCCAGCAGCCG